Molecule: ribosomal RNA, 394 nt
Filed under: uncultured bacterium
Lineage: Bacteria
Description: bacterial SSU rRNA
Rfam family: Bacterial small subunit ribosomal RNA
Source: RNAcentral
AUUGAACGCUGGCGGCAUGCCUUACACAUGCAAGUCGAACGGCAGCACGGGGGCAACCCUGGUGGCGAGUGGCGAACGGGUGAGUAAUAUAUCGGAACGUGCCCUAGAGUGGGGGAUAACGUAGCGAAAGUUACGCUAAUACCGCAUACGAUCUAUGGAUGAAAGUGGGGGAUUCGCAAGAACCUCAUGCUCCUGGAGCGGCCGAUAUCUGAUUAGCAGUUGGUAGGGUAAAAGCCUACCAAGGCAUCGAUCAGUAGCUGGUCUGAGAGGACGACCAGCCACACUGGGACUGAGACACGGCCCAGACUCCUACGGGAGGCAGCAGUGGGGAAUUUUGGGCAAUGGGCAAAGCCUGACCCAGCAACGCCGCGUGAGGGAGGAAAUCCUUCGGGAU